RNAcentral lists this ribosomal RNA (481 nucleotides) under uncultured bacterium. Its description in RNAcentral is "bacterial SSU rRNA". It matches the Rfam family "Bacterial small subunit ribosomal RNA", at positions 28 to 528 of the family's 1533-position model. The record is from RNAcentral.
GACGAACGCUGGCGGCGUGCUUAACACAUGCAAGUCGAACGGUGACGAGGAGCUUGCUCCUCUGAUCAGUGGCGAACGGGUGAGUAACACGUGAGCAACCUGCCCCAGACUCUGGGAUAACAGUUGGAAACAGCUGCUAAUACCGGAUACGAGACGGAGAGGCAUCUCUACCGUCUGGAAAGUUUUUCGGUCUGGGAUGGACUCGCGGCCUAUCAGCUAGUUGGUGAGGUAAUGGCUCACCAAGGCGACGACGGGUAGCCGGCCUGAGAGGGCGACCGGCCACACUGGGACUGAGACACGGCCCAGACUCCUACGGGAGGCAGCAGUGGGGAAUAUUGCACAAUGGGCGAAAGCCUGAUGCAGCGACGCCGCGUGAGGGAUGAAGGCCUCGGUUGUAACUCUUCUAGCAGGAGAAGCGAAAGUGACGGUACCGUGCAGAAGAAGCACCGGCUAACUACGUGCCAGCAGCCGCGGUAAACGU